GAUGAACGCUGGCGGCGUGCUUAACACAUGCAAGUCGAACGAUGAACCUCACUUGUGGGGGGAUUAGUGGCGAACGGGUGAGUAACACGUGAGUAACCUGCCCUUGACUCUGGGAUAAGCCUGGGAAACCGGGUCUAAUACUGGAUACGACCUUCUGGCGCAUGCCAUGUUGGUGGAAAGCUUUUGUGGUUUUGGAUGGACUCGCGGCCUAUCAGCUUGUUGGUGGGGUAAUGGCCUACCAAGGCGACGACGGGUAGCCGGCCUGAGAGGGUGACCGGCCACACUGGGACUGAGACACGGCCCAGACUCCUACGGGAGGCAGCAGUGGGGAAUAUUGCACAAUGGGCGCAAGCCUGAUGCAGCGACGCCGCGUGAGGGAUGAAGGCCUUCGGGUUGUAAACCUCUUUCAGUAGGGAAGAAGCCGGCUUUUGGGUUGGUGACGGUACCUGCAGAAGAAGCGUCGGCUAACUACGUG
This 475-nucleotide ribosomal RNA is filed under the name uncultured bacterium. RNAcentral's name for it is "partial 16S ribosomal RNA". It matches the Rfam family "Bacterial small subunit ribosomal RNA", at positions 28 to 507 of the family's 1533-position model. The record is from RNAcentral.